CCCUUAGAUGUUCGGGGCCGCACGCGCGCUACACUGAAGGACUCAGCGUGUCUCUCCCCCUAUCCCGAAAGGGAUGGGCAACCCGUCGAACCUCCUUCGUGCUAGGGAUUGGGGUUUGCAAUUAUCCCCCAUGAACGAGGAAUUCCCAGUAAGCGCGAGUCAUCAGCUCGCGUUGAUUACGUCCCUGCCCUUUGUACACACCGCCCGUCGCUACUACCGAUUGGAUGGUUUAGUGAGACCCUCGGAUCGGUCCCGACUCGGGGUGGGCUUCUGCCCCGGUCGUGGUUUCGCCGAGAAGACGGUCAAACUUGACUAUCUAGAGGAAGUAAAAGUCGUAACA
Molecule: ribosomal RNA, 340 nt
Filed under: uncultured eukaryote
Lineage: Eukaryota
Description: partial 18S ribosomal RNA
Rfam family: Eukaryotic small subunit ribosomal RNA
Source: RNAcentral